This 460-nucleotide ribosomal RNA is filed under the name uncultured bacterium. RNAcentral describes it as "partial 16S ribosomal RNA". It matches the Rfam family "Bacterial small subunit ribosomal RNA", at positions 338 to 795 of the family's 1533-position model. The record is from RNAcentral.
CCUACGGGUGGCAGCAGUGAGGAAUAUUGGUCAAUGGGCGCGAGCCUGAACCAGCCAAGUAGCGUGAAGGAUGACUGCCCUACGUGUUGUAAGCUUCUUUUAUAAAGGAGUAAAGUGAGGCACGUGUGCCUUUUUGUAUGUACUUUAUGAAUAAGGAUCGGCUAACUCCGUGCCAGCAGCCGCGGUAAUACGGAGGCUCCGAGCGUUAUCCGGAUUUAUUGGGUUUAAAGGGAGCGUAGAUGGGUUGUUAAGUCAGUUGUGAAAGUUUGCGGCGCAACCGUAAAAUUGAAAUUGAUACUGGCAGCCUUGAGUACAGUUGAGGCAGGCGGAAUUCGUGGUGUAGCGGUGAAAUGCGUAGAUAUCACGAAGAACUCCGACUGCGAAGGCAGCCUACUAAACUGCCACUGACAUUGAUGCUCGAAAGUGUGGGGAUCAAACAGGAUUAGAUACCCGAGUAGUC